Molecule: ribosomal RNA, 1235 nt
Filed under: Kocuria rhizophila
Lineage: Bacteria; Bacillati; Actinomycetota; Actinomycetes; Micrococcales; Micrococcaceae
Description: bacterial SSU rRNA
Rfam family: Bacterial small subunit ribosomal RNA
Source: RNAcentral
AGGCAAGGGUGCUUACAAUGCAGUCGAACGCUGAAGCUUGGUGCUUGCCUGGGUGGAUGAUGGCGAACGGGUGAGUAAUACGUGAGUAACCUGCCCUUGACUCUGGGAUAAGCCUGGGAAACUGGGUCUAAUACUGGAUACGACAUGUCACCGCAUGGGGGUGUGUGGAAAGGGUUUUACUGGUUUUGGAUGGGCUCACGGCCUAUCAGCUUGUUGGUGGGGUAAUGGCUCACCAAGGCGACAACGGGUAGCCGGCCUGAAAGGGUGACCGGCCACACUGGGACUGAAACACGGCCCAAACUCCUACGGGAGGCAGCAGUGGGGAAUAUUGCACAAUGGGCGAAAGCCUGAUGCAGCGACGCCGCGUGAGGGAUGACGGCCUUCGGGUUGUAAACCUCUUUCAGCACGGAAAAAGCGAAAGUGACGGUACGUGCAGAAGAAGCGCCGGCUAACUACGUGCCAGCAGCCGCGGUAAUACGUAGGGCGCAAGCGUUGUCCGGAAUUAUUGGGCGUAAAGAGCUCGUAGGCGGUUUGUCGCGUCUGCUGUGAAAGCCCGGGGCUUAACCCCGGGUGUGCAGUGGGUACGGGCAGACUUGAGUGCAGUAGGGGAGACUGGAAUUCCUGGUGUAGCGGUGAAAUGCGCAGAUAUCACGAGGAACACCGAUGGCGAAAGCAGGUCUCUGGGCUGUUACUGACGCUGAGGAGCGAAAGCAUGGGGAGCGAACAGGAUUAGAUACCCUGGUAGUCCAUGCCGUAAACGUUGGGCACUAGGUGUGGGGAACAUUCCACGUUUUCCGCGCCGUAGCUAACGCAUUAAGUGCCCCGCCUGGGGAGUACGGCCGCAAGGCUAAAACUCAAAGGAAUUGACGGGGCCCGCACAAGCGGCGGAGCAUGCUGAUUAAUUCGAUGCAACGCGAAAACCUUACCAAGCCUGACAUACCCGGAACCGGUCAGAGAAUGUCUUUCCCCCUUGGGGGGCUGGUGUACAGGUGGUGCAUGCUGUCGUCAGCCUCGUUCGUGAAAUGUAGGUAAAGUCCAGCACGAGGCCAUCUCUUCUAUGUGCAGCGGAUGUGGGACUCAAGGAACUGCGGGUCACUCGAGAAGGUGGGGAUACUCAAAUCUACAUUGCCCUUAUGUCUGCCUCACGCAUGUUCAAUGGCCAGUACAUUAAUCGGAAUCCAAGUGACUAUCAGACGGUUUCCACUAUGUUCGGAGACUCCGGGUUUCUGAAAUCG